Molecule: ribosomal RNA, 253 nt
Filed under: uncultured bacterium
Lineage: Bacteria
Description: partial 16S ribosomal RNA
Rfam family: Bacterial small subunit ribosomal RNA
Source: RNAcentral
UACGUAGGGGGCGAGCGUUGUCCGGAGUUACUGGGCGUAAAGCGCACGCAGGCGGUCUGCUAAGUUUGGAGUGACAGUUGGUGGCUUAACUGCCAAAGUGCUUCGAAAACUGACAGACUUGAGGGCUUCAGAGGGACACGGAAUUCCGGGUGGAGUGGUGAAAUGCGUAGAGAUCCGGAGAAACACCAAAGGCGAAGGCAGUGUCCUGGGGAGUACCUGACGCUCAGGUGCGAAAGCCAGGGGAGCGAACGGG